Molecule: transfer RNA, 67 nt
Filed under: human gut metagenome
Rfam family: tRNA
About the family: Transfer RNA (tRNA) molecules are approximately 80 nucleotides in length. Their secondary structure includes four short double-helical elements and three loops (D, anti-codon, and T loops). Further hydrogen bonds mediate the characteristic L-shaped molecular structure. tRNAs have two regions of fundamental functional importance: the anti-codon, which is responsible for specific mRNA codon recognition, and the 3' end, to which the tRNAs corresponding amino acid is attached (by aminoacyl-tRNA synthetases). tRNAs cope with the degeneracy of the genetic code in two manners: having more than one tRNA (with a specific anti-codon) for a particular amino acid; and 'wobble' base-pairing, i.e. permitting non-standard base-pairing at the 3rd anti-codon position.
Source: RNAcentral
UGCUAUGGCUCAGUCGGUAGAGCGCAUCCUUGGUAAGGAUGAGGUCGGCGGUUCAAAUCCGCCUAGC